AUUGUGACACCCCCAGCGGAAGCUCCGCCGGUGUUGUUCCCGGUCGCUUGACGCCGGUCUGCUGUGACAACAGAAGCACCGACUCCUCUGGAAUAUUCCUGCCGGGAAACCGCCUAAAAUGACAGACAGGAGGAUUUAACGGAACUAACGGAGCCACGGGACUGAAAGAGGCUCGAUGCUCUCUCGGCCGCUGACGCUCAGUGAGAGUGAUGACAGGGGGCGGGGCCUGGCAGCGGUGACUCCGCCUCCUGCUCUCCCAUUGGCUGAUGAAGAUGAGGAUGAAGAUGACGGCACACAAACAGGCGUUUUCUCUCCUCCUGCACCUCCUUGGAGCUCCUCCUCU
Molecule: long non-coding RNA, 343 nt
Organism: Thunnus maccoyii (southern bluefin tuna)
Lineage: Eukaryota; Metazoa; Chordata; Actinopteri; Scombriformes; Scombridae
Exons: 3
Source: RefSeq, a predicted model, not a curated record